AAGCCAUGGUGAGGGCAUUCACUCAAUAAACCAUUAAACCGUUCAAAACACUGAAAAAGAGUCUCUCCAUCUUGAUGGACGAAACAAGUGAUACUUUGACGGAGAUC
Small nucleolar RNA from Papaver somniferum (opium poppy), 107 nucleotides. The record is from RefSeq and is a predicted model, not a curated record. NCBI's taxonomy places the organism in Eukaryota, Viridiplantae, Streptophyta, Magnoliopsida, Ranunculales, Papaveraceae.